Molecule: long non-coding RNA, 244 nt
Organism: Andrographis paniculata
Lineage: Eukaryota; Viridiplantae; Streptophyta; Magnoliopsida; Lamiales; Acanthaceae
Exons: 3
Source: RefSeq, a predicted model, not a curated record
GCGAAGGAGAAGAAAGGAGAAAAAGAAAAGAAAGAAAUAAAAAGAUUUAGCCGUCCGAUUCCAAUUCCGACUUGGGUGUACGUUGGAGGAGAUUUGGAUGAAGUUAUAAAAUCCAGAAAGUAUCGGUAGGAGGUACGCAUGGCACCUCCGGGACAGGGGACGUCUCGGGAGAUAGAAAGACGGGCUGAAUGAGUGAACUGCAUCUGAUGUAUUAUAUGUAAAUUCUAACUAGAAAAACCUCCCG